This 240-nucleotide unclassified non-coding RNA is filed under the name Mollisia sp. Its description in RNAcentral is "partial contains 5.8S ribosomal RNA, internal transcribed spacer 2, and large subunit ribosomal RNA". The record is from RNAcentral. Lineage: Eukaryota; Fungi; Ascomycota; Leotiomycetes; Helotiales; Mollisiaceae. RNAcentral also lists the same sequence under 2 other names.
AACGCACAUUGCGCCCCUUGGUAUUCCGGGGGGCAUGCCUGUUCGAGCGUCAUUUCAACCCUCAAGCUCUGCUUGGUAUUGGGCCCUGCCGGCGACGGCAGGCCUUAAAAACAGUGGCGGCGCCCUGAGGCCCUGAGCGUAGUACAUCUCUCGCUACAGGACCCUCUAGGACGCUGGCCAUCAACCCCCAAUCUUUCUAUGGUUGACCUCGGAUCAGGUAGGGAUACCCGCUGAACUUAA